AGAGUUUGAUCAUGGCUCAGGAUAAACGCUGGCGGCAUGCCUAAUACAUGCAAGUCGAACGGGGGUGCUUGCACCCCAGUGGCGAACGGGUGAGUAACACGUAUUCAAUCUACCUUGAAGUGGGGGAUAACCUUUGGAAACGAAGGAUAAUACCGCAUGACAACUUCAUUAUGGCAUCAGAAGAAGUUGAAAGAUCCGUUUGGAUCGCUUUAAGAUGAGGAUGCGGCGUAUUAGCUAGUAGGUGAGAUAAUAGCCCACCUAGGCAAUGAUACGUAGCCGAACUGAGAGGUUGAUCGGCCACAUUGGGACUGAGAUACGGCCCAGACUCCUACGGGAGGCAGCAGUAGGGAAUUUUUCACAAUGGACGAAAGUCUGAUGAAGCAAUGCCGCGUGAGUGAUGACGGUCUUCGGAUUGUAAAGCUCUGUUGUAAGGGAAGAAAAUUUGGAAGAGGAAAUGCUUUCGAACUUGACGGUACCUUACCAGAAAGCCACGGCUA
Molecule: ribosomal RNA, 497 nt
Filed under: Entomoplasma endosymbiont of Formica picea
Lineage: Bacteria; Bacillati; Mycoplasmatota; Mollicutes; Entomoplasmatales; Entomoplasmataceae
Also listed under: 1 other name
Description: bacterial SSU rRNA
Rfam family: Bacterial small subunit ribosomal RNA
Source: RNAcentral